AGGACGAACGCUGGCGGCGUGCUUAACACAUGCAAGUCGAGCGAACCUUCGGGUUAGCGGCGAACGGGUGAGUAACACGUGGGCAACCUGCCCCGAGCUCUGGGAUAACUCCGGGAAACCGGGGCUAAUACCGGAUAUGACCCGAGAAGACAUCUUCUCGGGUGGAAAGUUUUUCGGCUCGGGAUGGGCCCGCGGCCUAUCAGCUUGUUGGUGGGUAACGGCCUACCAAGGCGACGACGGGUAGCC
RNAcentral lists this ribosomal RNA (246 nucleotides) under uncultured bacterium. RNAcentral's name for it is "partial small subunit ribosomal RNA". It matches the Rfam family "Bacterial small subunit ribosomal RNA", at positions 26 to 288 of the family's 1533-position model. The record is from RNAcentral.